UCAGUCGGCCCCGCUGGGCUUGGGGGCGGCGGGCGGCAGCCGGUGGGCUGUGGGUGGCGUUUCCACCGGUCCGCGGCUAUUGGGCGGCCCCGCUACCCUGAGAAAGCCCGUUCGCCGAAGUGGAGCGAGGCUUUUCACCGCCGCCGCCGCCCUCUCUGCCCUCCGAGCUCUCCCAGGAUACCUCAGAUUUCCCUGGAGUCGGGAGCUCGAGGGGCGCGCUCGGCCCUCCUUUUGCUGCUGCUCCUAUUCAGCUUGCGCCGCGAGCGGCCGCCGGCCGGGCCAGCACCUCGCGUGUGGGACCGCCUCCCUUAGCCCCAAUGCCCGUGCGAGAAGAGUUGAGUGGGUGCCCGUGGUUGGAGCUGUGCAGGUGUCCCCCGGUGGCAAGUGUGGCCACAGCACCGAGCGCUGUUAAGUUUUAUGCGCGCACGUUGCAAGGACUGUGUGUGAGUCUGAGUGGAUAUUUCGUCAUUGAUCUUCAGGUUCAUUACUUCUGUCAUCUGUCAUCUCAAGUCUGCUGUUGAGCCCCUCUAGUAUAAUUUGACAUCCUGAGAGUUUGUCUUAGCAAGAAGGAAGUGGAAAAUACUCUUGAAAAGAAAACUAAGACAAUAAGGAAGCCAGAACUGACUUUUACAUGGUGAUCUGCUCACUUACCAGUAUGGACACUUUUCCCACCAUAUUUCCUCCUGGUGGAGACAGUGGACUGACAAAUUCUCAAUCUGAGUUCCAAAAAAUGUUAACUGAUGAAAGGUUACGAUGUGAACAUCAUAAAACUAACUAUCAGACUCUUAAAGUUGAACACACAAGGUUGCAAGAUGAGUACAUAAAGUCACAAAAUGAACUUAAGCGCCUAUUAAAUGAAAAGCAAACUCACCAAGAAAAAUUUCAGCUGCUGCUUGAAGAGCUACGAGGGGAAUUAAUAGAGAAAACUAAAGACUUAGAAGAAAUGAAACUGCAGGUAUUAACUCCCCAAAAGUUGGAACUGUUACGAGCUCAAAUACAACAAGAAUUAGAAACUCCAAUGAGGGACCGUUUUAGGAAUCUGGAUGAAGAAGUGGAAAAGUAUAGAGCUGAAUAUAAUAAGCUCCGCUAUGAACAUACAUUUCUCAAAUCAGAAUUUGAACACCAGAAAGAAGAAUUUGCACGUAUCCUAGAAGAAGAAAAAAUAAAAUAUGAAUCAGAGAUUGCCACACUGGAGAAUGAUAAAGAAGAACUACGUAAUCAGCUGCUUGGUGUUGAUCCCACAAGAGACAGCAAACGAAUGGAGCAGCUUGUUCUAGAAAAAGUCAGUUUGUUUCAGAAAGUAAAAGGUUUAGAGGCUGAAGUAGCAGCAUUAAGGGCUGAAAAAGAAAAUUCUGGUGCUCAGGUAGAAAAUGUCCAAAGAAUUCAGGUGCGGCAGUUGGCUGAGAUGCAGGCUACAAUCAGAUCCCUGGAGGCUGAAAAACAGUCAGCUAAACUACAGGCUGAACGCUUGGAAAAAGAACUACAAUCAAUCAGUGAACAAAAUACUGUUUUAAUUAGUAAAUUGCAUAAAGCUGAACGAGAGAUAAAUACCUUGACCAGUAAAGUAAAAGAACUUAAACAUUCAAACAAACUAGAAAUAACAGACAUCAAACUGGAGGCAGCAAGAGCUAAGAGUGAGCUAGAAAGAGAAAGGAAUAAGAUUCAAAGUGAACUGGAUGGGUUACAGUCAGACAAUGAAGUUCUCAAGUCAGCUGUUGAACACCACAAAACACUCCUAGUAGAAAAGGAUCGUGAAUUAAUACGUAAAGUACAAGCUGCCAAGGAAGAAGGUUAUCAAAAACUUGUGAUAUUACAAGAUGAAAAGCUAGAACUUGAGAACAGAUUAGUGGAUUUAGAGAAAAUGAAAGUGGAACAUGAUGUCUGGAGACAAUCUGAAAAGGAUCAGUGUGAAGAGAAGUUGCGGGCUUCACAGAUGGCAGAAGAGUCGGCCAGAAGGGAACUUCAGAGUAUUAGAUUAAAACUUCAACAACAAAUUGUGAAUAUUGAAAAUGCAGAGAAAGAAAAACAUGAAAAUGCUGAGCUGAAACAGCAAAUCAGUAGUUUGCAGAAUCAGGUGACCUCACUUGGACAGUCAGAGAAUGAGUUGCUGAAUUCAAACCAAAUACUGAGGGAGACGGUGGAGAGGUUAAAACAGGAAUGCCGAAAUUUAAGAAGCCAAGCUGAAAAAGCACAACUAGAAGUUGAAAGGACUUUGGAAGAGAAACAGAUACAGUGGUUGGAAGAAAAGCAUAAAUUUCAGGAACGUAUCACUGACAGAGAAGAAAAGUAUAAUCAAGCUAAAGAAAAACUACAGCGAGCUGCAAUUGCCCAGAAAAAGAGAAAAUCUCUUCAUGAAAACAAAUUGAAGAGACUGCAGGAGAAAGUAGAAAUCUUAGAGGCAAAGAGAGAAGAAUUAGAAACAGAAAACCAGGUGUUGAAUAGACAAAAUGUUCCAUUUGAAGAAUAUACAAGGCUUCAAAAAAGACUAAAGGACAUACAGAGAAGACAUAAUGAAUUUCGAAGUUUAAUUUUGGUUCCUAACAUGCCUCCAACAGCAUCCAUCAAUCCUGUCAGUGUUCAGUCAUCAACCAUGGUUCCAGGCAUGGACCUGUCAUUUCCUCCUCAUAUGCAGGAGGAACAGCAUCAAAGGGAACUCUCUCUACUUCGCAAAAGACUAGAAGAACUAGAAACAACACAAAGGAAACAACUAGAGGAACUUGGAUCUCCUGGGGAAUGAUGUUUGAGGAAAAAAGGCAGAUCAAAAGGGAUGAAAUCAGUGCGACUCAUAAAGCUUGAAGUUUUAAUGAAGUCUGCUGGAAUAACUUCAUAUCAGCAAGGCGAAGCUCAAAUCCUCCAAACUAAGUGGAAUGUUCGUUACCCAGAAGUCUUCAGGAUCAAAGGUCCAGGUAGAUAGUGGAGGAGCAGUCCUUAAUAUCAUUUAAAAGAAACUGGAUUUACUUACUACAUUAUAGAACUGCUUAUUCAGAUAUGCAGUGGCACCUUGUUUCUGAAAAAUAAUUUCCUUGGGGCCACUUAGAAUAAAAAAGUCUAUUAUAACUAGAACAUUUGAAGGGGGAAAAAAAAAAGAAAC
Hyaena hyaena (striped hyena) is the source of this 3091-nucleotide RNA transcript. It is a transcript of the gene named centrosomal protein 83, with no coding region annotated. NCBI's taxonomy places the organism in Eukaryota, Metazoa, Chordata, Mammalia, Carnivora, Hyaenidae. The record is from RefSeq and is a predicted model, not a curated record. The transcript has 18 exons.